UUGGAGGGCAAAUCUGGUGCCAGCAGCCGCGGUAAUUCCAGCUCCAAUAGCGUAUAUUAAAGUUGUUGUGGUUAAAAAGCUCGUAGUUGAACCUUGGGCCUGGCUGGCCGGUCCGCCUCACCGCGUGUACUGGUCCGGCCGGGCCUUUCCCUCUGUGGAACCCCAUGCCCUUCACUGGGUGUGGCGGGGGAAACAGGACUUUUACUGUGAAAAAAUUAGAGUGCUCCAGGCAGGCCUAUGCUCGAAUACAUUAGCAUGGAAUAGUAGAAUAGGA
This 274-nucleotide ribosomal RNA is filed under the name uncultured Ascomycota. Its description in RNAcentral is "partial 18S ribosomal RNA". It matches the Rfam family "Eukaryotic small subunit ribosomal RNA", at positions 548 to 827 of the family's 1831-position model. Lineage: Eukaryota; Fungi; Ascomycota. The record is from RNAcentral.